Molecule: ribosomal RNA, 930 nt
Filed under: uncultured bacterium
Lineage: Bacteria
Description: bacterial SSU rRNA
Rfam family: Bacterial small subunit ribosomal RNA
Source: RNAcentral
CGUAGGCGGUAAAAGAAGUCAUCUGUGAAAACCUAUUGCUCAACGAUAGGCUAGCGGAUGAAACUGAAUUACUUGAGGGCACCAGAGGUAGACGGAAUUACCCGAGUAGGGGUGAAAUCCGCAGAUACGGGUAGGAACGCCGGUGGAGAAGUCGGUCUACUGGGGUGCACCAGACGCUGAGGCCCGAAAGCUAGGGGAGCAAACCGGAUUAGAUACCCGGGUAGUCCUAGCCGUAAACGAUGCUCACUAGGUGUAGGGAGUGAUAAACUCUCUGUGCUGAAGCGAACGCGCUAAGUGAGCCGCCUGGGGAGUACGUCCGCAAGGAUGAAACUCAAAGGAAUUGACGGGGGUCCGCAUAAGCGGUGGAGCAUGUGGUUUAAUUCGAUGGUAACCGAAGAACCUUACCAGGGAUUGACAUGUAACUGAAGGUAGAGAAAUCUACUGGCCUGCUGCAAAGCGGGAGGUUACACAGGUGGUGCACGGCCGUCGUCAGCUCGUGCCGUGAGGUGUUGGGUUAAGUCCCGCAACGAGCGCAACCCCUACGAUUAGUUACUAACGCGGAAAGGCGAGGACUCUAAUCGGACUGCCGCCGACGAGGCGGAGGAAGGAGGGGAUGACGUCAGGUAAGCGUGCCCCUUAUACUCUGGGCGACACACGUGCUACAAUGGAGGGGACAAAGGGAAGCGAAGCCGAGAGGUGGAGCGGAUCCUAAAAAAACUCUCCGAAAUACGGAUUGUAGGCUGCAACCCGCCUACAUGAAGUCGGAAUCGCUAGUAAUCGCAGGUCAGCCAAACUGCGGUGAAUACGUUCCCGGGCCUUGUACACACCGCCCGUCACGCCACCCGAGUUGGGAACACCUGAAGGCAGUACGGGAGGUACUGUUGAAGGUGGGCUUGGCGAGGGGGGCGAAGUCGUAACAAGGUAACCGUA